UCGGGCUUCGUUUGGGCUUGAUUUCAUGCUUUGUUUUAGCCCAACGUCAAACUAUGUGUCAACCCUAAUUUUUGGUGACGAACGCCUGUGUGUUCUUCGUUGCUCUUGGAAGGGCGGAUACGGUGACGAUCGAGUGUCCUAGCCGUUUCUGUAACUGAAAAUGUUGUGUUUAUUACAUCUUUAUUUCAGACUCACACUAAGAGUUCUUCAGUUGCGUUGUUCCGUCAACGAUUACGGGUAUAUAGAUCUGUAUCUCACUUCUAGAAAUCGCGAUCUCCAGAUCUCUCUGCAGGUGUUCGUCCGCUGUCGCGGCGAGGCUGCUGCAAUUCUGGGAGGCUAGGAAUGUCAACGGAGGACCAACUGACAGACGAGGAGAUCGCCGAGUUCAAAGAAGCCUUUAGCCUCUUCGACAAAUACUGUGAAUGUUGAUCGAAGGCUACAAGGUUGAUCCACGUGGGGUUGUGGCAACAUGCAUCAAUACGAAGCUUAUAGGAGUCCGUAUGUUCCUCAAUACCAAUGUCUGGAACUCAUUUCUAUUUAGACAAGGAGGCUGAAGCAGGCGAGAGCUACUUUGACAAGUGGGUCACAAAUGACACUGGAAAUACAUCAGAAGCUUCAUUGUUGAGAGGCUAUGCUAAGAGAGUAUAAUUUACCUGAUCUGAGAAAGUCACCUCUGUCAAGACAGAAAAUGGAUGGUGCUACAUAUCUUGCUCCAAGUAAAAUUACAGAGGACUAGAGGAGUGCCUCAUCUUUUGUAUGCAUGUUCUGCAAUCGGCCUAAUGUCGUUGGUGUUCUCAGGUAUCAUGUCAAGAUGACUGUUGCUAAUGACACUGACGAAUCAGUUUUUGUAAGUUUUGAUGGUGAAAUAACAAAGCUCACCAAUAUCCUGGCUGGCUGCUGAUGCUGGUCAUCUGCUGAUAUGCCGCUAUCUAACCACACAACAUCAUUUACCAUAUUGCGAAAAUGUUAAUAGUUUCACAUUACAACCAUUGGUCUAAUAGGCGUGAGAGUGAGAGAACCCAGAAGAUAACCAGCUCCCACCUUUUAUUGUUGACCUUGAUGGACGGCUGCAACGAUGGCCUUGAAGAUGACAUGCCUGGUGUCAGCUCUCACCAGGUUCCGAAACGACUUCGAGUGGUGUCAUCAACAAAAACCUCUGGACCCAGCGUUUAAUAAGUUGACCAAGAAGCCACACGCAGCUUAGGUGCAAAGUUUGCAGUAUCUGGCCACUUUAGUUGCUUUUAAAAUAAUACUUACGCAUAAUUGUGGUUUUUAAACUAUCAAAGAUAUUUUUCUGUUC
This is a long non-coding RNA of Raphanus sativus (radish), 1300 nucleotides long. RefSeq lists it as uncharacterized. The transcript has 7 exons. The record is from RefSeq and is a predicted model, not a curated record. Lineage: Eukaryota; Viridiplantae; Streptophyta; Magnoliopsida; Brassicales; Brassicaceae.